GAUGAACGCUGGCGGCGUGCCUAAUACAUGCAAGUCGAGCGAAUGGAUUAAGAGCUUGCUCUUAUGAAGUUAGCGGCGGACGGGUGAGUAACACGUGGGUAACCUGCCCAUAAGACUGGGAUGACUCCGGGAAACCGGGGCUAAUACCGGAUAACAUUUUGAACCGCAUGGUUCGAAAUUGAAAGGCGGCUUCGGCUGUCACUUAUGGAUGGACCCGCGUCGCAUUAGCUAGUUGGUGAGGUAACGGCUCACCAAGGCAACGAUGCGUAGCCGAACUGGGAGGGUGGUCGGCCACACUGGGACUGAGACACCGGCCAGACUCCUACGGGAGGCAGCAGUAGGGAAUCUUGCGCAAUGGACGAAAGUCUGACGGAGCAACGCCGCGUGAGUGAUGAAGGCUUUCGGGUCGUAAAACUCUGUUGUUAGGGAAGAACAAGUGCUAGUUGAAUAAGCUGGCACCUUGACGGUACCUAACCAGAAAGCCACGGCUAACUACGUGCCAGCCGCCGCAGUAA
Molecule: ribosomal RNA, 515 nt
Filed under: uncultured bacterium
Lineage: Bacteria
Description: partial 16S ribosomal RNA
Rfam family: Bacterial small subunit ribosomal RNA
Source: RNAcentral